This 64-nucleotide transfer RNA is filed under the name Chaetocnema confinis. Its description in RNAcentral is "tRNA-Tyr". The record is from RNAcentral. Lineage: Eukaryota; Metazoa; Arthropoda; Insecta; Coleoptera; Chrysomelidae.
GGUAAAAUGGCUGAGAUUAGGCGAUAAAUUGUAAAUUUAUAGACGAAUUGUUAUUCUUUUACCA